UGAAGGCCUCCCCCGUCGCCGCGCGGCUUCCCGGAGCCGAGUGCAGACUCCCUCAGCCCGGUGUUCCCCGCGUCCGGACGCCGAGGUCGCGUCUUCGCAGAAACUCGGGCCCCUCCAUCCGCCCUCAGAAAAGGGAGCGAUGUUGAUCUCAGGAAGCACAAAGGGACCUUUCUAGCUCUGACUGAACCACGGAGCUCACCCUGAACAGUAUCACUCUGUGGAGGAAGACUGUGAGACUGUGGCUGGAAGCCAGAUUGUAGCCACACAUCCGCCCCUGCCCUACCCCAGAGCCCUGGAGCAGCAACUGGCUGCAGAUCACAAACACAGUGAGGAUAUGAGUGUAGGGGUGAGCACCUCAGCCCCUCUUUCCCCAACCUCGGGCACAAGCGUGGGCAUGUCCACCUUCUCCAUCGUGGACUAUGUGGUGUUCGUCCUGCUGCUGGUUCUCUCUCUUGCCAUUGGGCUCUACCAUGCUUGUCGUGGCUGGGGCCGGCAUACUGUUGGUGAGCUGCUGAUGGCAGACCGCAAAAUGGGCUGCCUUCCGGUGGCACUAUCCCUGCUGGCCACCUUCCAGUCAGCCGUGGCCAUCCUGGGUGUGCCAUCAGAGAUCUACCGAUUUGGGACCCAGUAUUGGUUCCUGGGCUGCUGCUACUUUCUGGGGCUGCUGAUACCUGCACACAUCUUCAUCCCUGUUUUCUACCGCUUGCAUCUCACCAGUGCCUAUGAGUACCUGGAGCUUCGAUUCAAUAAAACUGUGCGAGUGUGUGGAACUGUGACCUUCAUCUUUCAGAUGGUGAUCUACAUGGGAGUUGUGCUCUAUGCUCCGUCAUUGGCUCUCAAUGCAGUGACUGGCUUUGAUCUGUGGCUGUCCGUGCUGGCCCUAGGCAUUGUCUGUACCGUCUAUACAGCCCUGGGUGGGCUGAAAGCCGUCAUCUGGACAGAUGUGUUCCAGACACUGGUCAUGUUUCUCGGGCAGCUGGCAGUUAUCAUCGUGGGGUCAGCCAAGGUGGGCGGCUUGGGGCGUGUGUGGGCCGUGGCUUCCCAGCACGGCCGCAUCUCUGGGUUUGAGCUGGAUCCAGACCCCUUUGUGCGGCACACCUUCUGGACCUUGGCCUUUGGGGGUGUCUUCAUGAUGCUCUCCUUAUACGGGGUGAACCAGGCUCAGGUGCAGCGGUACCUCAGUUCCCGCACGGAGAAGGCUGCUGUGCUCUCCUGUUAUGCAGUGUUCCCCUUCCAGCAGGUGUCCCUCUGCGUGGGCUGCCUCAUUGGCCUGGUCAUGUUCGCGUAUUACCAGGAGUAUCCCAUGAGCAUUCAGCAGGCUCAGGCAGCCCCAGACCAGUUCGUCCUGUACUUUGUGAUGGAUCUCCUGAAGGGCCUGCCGGGCCUGCCAGGGCUCUUCAUUGCCUGCCUCUUCAGCGGCUCUCUCAGCACUAUAUCCUCUGCUUUUAAUUCAUUGGCGACUGUUACGAUGGAAGACCUGAUUCGACCUUGGUUCCCUGAGUUCUCUGAAGCCCGGGCCAUCAUGCUUUCCAGAGGCCUUGGUGGGGUUAUGCUUCCUCAUCUCUUCAGUCUGGGUCUUUCUAAGCUUCACCCUGACCGUUGUCAUCAGUCUACUGUAAAACACCCACUUUAUCCGGGGCUCAGCACUUGCCUAAUGAUGCACACAACCUUCCCUGCAUGCAUGGUUGUUUACAUCUCAGGGCAUGUCUUAGGGAGGUCUCUGAGUCACAUAGGAGUGAGGAAUUGGUGGGAGGAAGCUGGGACAUGAUGUAAUAUGCCUUUUGUUUCCAGAGAGACAGAGGUGGUAGUUUGGCUGGGCAGGGAGCCUUGCUUUACCCCAUUGCUUGUGUUAACUCACACCUUCUUGUUUCCUCUCCUGUCCUUUUCCCCCAGCCUUUGGCUAUGGGCUGCUUUGUCUAGGAAUGGCCUAUAUUUCCUCCCAGAUGGGACCUGUACUGCAGGCAGCAAUCAGCAUCUUUGGCAUGGUUGGGGGACCGCUGCUGGGACUCUUCUGCCUUGGAAUGUUCUUUCCAUGUGCCAACCCUCCUGGUGCUGUUGUGGGCCUGUUGGCUGGACUCGUCAUGGCCUUCUGGAUCGGCAUCGGGAGCAUCGUGACCAGCAUGGGCUCCAGCAUGCCACCCUCUCCCUCUAAUGGGUCCAGCUUCUCCCUGCCCACCAAUCUAACCGUUGCCACUGUGACCACACUGAUGCCCUUGACUACCUUCUCCAAGCCCACAGGGCUGCGGCGGUUCUAUUCCUUGUCUUACUUAUGGUACAGUGCUCACAACUCCACCACAGUCAUUGUGGUGGGCUUGAUUGUCAGUCUACUCACUGGGAGAAUGCAAGGCCGGUCCCUGAACCCUGCGACCAUUUACCCAGUGUUGCCGAAGCUCCUGGCCCUCCUGCCCUUGUCCUGUCAGAAGCGGCUCCACUGCAGGAGCUAUGGCCAGGACCACCUCAUGGACACUGGCCUGUUUCCUGAGAAGCCGAGGAAUGGUGUGCUGGGGGACAGCAGAGACAAGGAGGCCAUGGCCCUGAAUGGCACAGCCUAUCAGGGGAGCAGCUCCACCUGCAUCCUCCAGGAGACCUCCCUGUGAUGUUGACUCAGAACCCCACCUCUGUCCUCACUGUGCCAGGCCAUAGCCAGACGCCACCCUGUAGUACAGGGAUGAGUCUUGGUGUGUUCUGCAGGGACAGGCCUGGAUGAUCUAGCUCAUACCAAAGGAACUUGUUCUGAGAGGUUCUUGCCUGCAGGAGAAGCUGUCACAUCUCAAGCAUGUGAGGCACCGUUUUUCUCGUUGCUUGCCAAUCUGUUUUUUAAAGGAUCAGGCUCGUAGGGAGCAGGAUCAUGCCAGAAAUAGGGAUAGAAGUACAUCCUCUGGGAAAAAGAUAAUGGCUUCUGAUUCAACAUAGCCAGAGUCCUUUGAAAGCAAGCACGUUUUCCACCUCACUGUCUCCAUCCUCCACCUCUGAGAUGGACACUUAGAGAGGGGGCAAAUGUGGAUCCAAGAAACCAGGGCCAUGACCGGGUCCACUGUGGAGCAGCCAUCUAUCUACCCGACUCCUGAGCCAGGCUGCCAUGGUGUCAUGUCUGUCAUCCGUGCUCUGUUUCCUUUUGGAGUUACUUCUCCACAUAUCUUUGUUCCUGGGGAAUAAAAACUACCAUUGGACCUAG
This 3175-nucleotide small RNA is filed under the name Pongo abelii (Sumatran orangutan). RNAcentral describes it as "retained intron". The record is from RNAcentral. Lineage: Eukaryota; Metazoa; Chordata; Mammalia; Primates; Hominidae.